UGUGCCCUGGACGACAGAUGGUCUCCGUGAUGUCAAAUCGGAAUAGAUUCCUGCCUCUUAAGGUCAAUGUGUCAGCAGGGGCAGGGAGCCCUGUGGAUGUGCAGAAGAGUGUUCCAGACAGAAGAGCACCUGGUGGGUCUAAGGAGGAAUGAGGGUGAGUGAAGGUCCCUGCCUUCCUCAUGGGGGUUCUCUGCCUGCACCGUGCCCUCCAGCAGGGAUGCUGAUCCUCUUCUUGCCCAUCCCUGGACCCCCGCAAGGCCAGACCGCCCUCAUCCCUUCAGAUCCAGAGAAUGCCAAACCUUCCAUGAAGCCUGCUCUGAUUCCCCAGGUGCAGUUCUCUAACCUCUAGACAACGACGGAAUUCUCUAGCACUUACUGACCUGCACCUGGUGUGACGGACAUAAACUGUAUCAUCGCUUCACUGCAAAGCCCCCGUCUGGUGUAUGUGCAUCUUCCUCAGACCCCCUGGACUGGGUCAAUGAACAGUCCUUAAACACAGUGACAGAGUCCAGGGCUAACAGCCAGGAGAGGGAGCCCCUGAGCCGUCUGGAGUCCAAAGCAAGGAGGUGAAGUCUGAGCAUCCAGGAAUCCACAGCCUGGAAGAGGAGCCAGAAAUACCUCUGGAAGUAAAGGCGCUUUGUAAGUGGGUAUUAUUAUUGCUACAUAAAACAUUCUUCCAAAAAUAAACUGUCAUAUACAUUCCCCUGGCCCAGUUACUCAUUCAUAAAGUUUUGUUUUGUUUUAACUGUCAAGUCAGUGAAGGAAAAUGACUGUCGGUUCAGUACAGGAGAAGAAAACCUGGCUUGAGGUCUUGGACAGAGCUUAGCAUCCCUGCCCCUAAGCUCUCCCACCUGCUACAGUGAGUGCUCCUGUGAGAACAGGCUGGCAUGGGGACGUAAGUCCUCGGCACGGUCUCCAGCGUGUCUGUAAGAACUCAAUAAACCGAAACUAUUAUUAGUCAAA
Camelus dromedarius (Arabian camel) is the source of this 963-nucleotide long non-coding RNA. RefSeq lists it as uncharacterized. The record is from RefSeq and is a predicted model, not a curated record. The transcript is spliced from 2 exons. NCBI's taxonomy places the organism in Eukaryota, Metazoa, Chordata, Mammalia, Artiodactyla, Camelidae.